This 2773-nucleotide unclassified non-coding RNA is filed under the name Hevea brasiliensis (rubber tree). The record is from RNAcentral. Lineage: Eukaryota; Viridiplantae; Streptophyta; Magnoliopsida; Malpighiales; Euphorbiaceae.
CGAUCAGUGUUUAUUGGCAAUGUGAGGUCUCUUUUCCUUUUUAACUUUGUGGUUUGCAUUCAAAACUUGAAAUGUAAAGGCAUACCUCCGCUUGAUAACCAAAUAGUAGUUAACCCUUGAUGGAGGUGGAUGUAUGCAAGUUCUUGUAAAUUAGUUCUCAUUAGGUGCAUUGUAUGCAUCUUCUUUAACUUUUGCAUGUGCCUUUUACUCAUUGAAAAUGACAGGUUUAAAUUCAUUCAUUGUCUUGGUUAAAUUAAAAGUUGUAGUAUUAAUCACUGUCUGAUUAUUAUUAGCGUGCUUGAUUGACUUAUAUUCUGUAAAAUAGUACAGAAGAUGAGGGUGCAACAUAUGGCAUACAGAAUUUGAUUGUUCCCAAUGCAAAACAUGCAUUUCAGUUUCAGCAUUCAUUAUCUUGUUUGUCAUUUUAACUAGGGGGUAUUCCUCCUGUGAUUUUGAACUUCUUUCUUGUGAUGCUAAGGAAGGCCCAUGAAUUGAAGGAAUUAAUGCUCUGCUGUAUCGUAAAUUAUAUAGCAUCUCUAUGCAAGUAUAAUUCAUCAGUUGAACUUAAAAUCUGGAGGAAAGGCCUGGUGGCCUGGUGGAGUGAUGAUUGAUAAAAUUGAUGGCCCUCCUGCUUACUCCAAAUUGUCUGUUUGUUAUCUUCCCUACUGCUUACUCCAAACUCCCUACCCAAACAAAGGGUGGAAUUCUUCAACUUUAUAUUGGGGUGGGACAGUUACUUUACCUAUUAGUAAUCUGUGAGCUUUAAGGGAUGGAUUUCAUUUGUCUUUCUUGGAUGCAUAAGAAUGCAAAGAAAGAGACAGAGAGAAAGAAAAUGAACCUUAGGAAUCAGGUCAGGGUUUAGUUGUAUCACUGAAAUAUUUAAUAUAAAACUGUGUGCGACUGUGCACAGUUUGUAUUGAAGGGAGAAAUUAUGAAGAAAAAGGUGAAAGAGAAAGAUGAAGGCACUAAGCCUCUCCUCGCUGUAUUCAUUCCUAUAAGUGGAAUGUGGAAAUUCUCAUAAUUUUCCCAAGCCCUUUUUCAUGAUUUUAUUGUAUUAGAGAUAAGUUGUGAAGCUAUCAAAUAUUUUAUUUUGAAAAGUCAAAAGUCCCAAAACACAAAGGUGUGCAAUUAAAUGAGUAAUAGGGAGUCUGUUGCGUGAGGACUUUGGAGUAAUCAAUUAUGAGUGGACGGAUGAUGGAAUAAAUAGUAUGCAAAGACAUAAAACUCAUCAUUUUUGCUUAAACUAUGUUCUAGCAAACUUUUUUAUUGUCAUAAAUAAGAAACAAGGCAGUCUCUGGUUAUGGCUGUCCACUGGGGCUUCAUCCUGGGUGGGUGUGCACCUGGACCAGGUUAUGAACUGGUCUUUCCUGAAUUAAUUAUUUUGCUUGAUCCAAAAGGAUUUGUGGAAGUCAGCAGCAGUUUUUAAUAUUAGCUUUUUCUUGCGUAUAUCAGCUGACUUUGUUCAUUCAAAUUUGAAUUUUAUUGACAAAAUGAAGAUUCUGUGUCUGCAGUUAGAUGGAUUCAGCUGCUAACCCCACCUUGGGAGGGUCUGAAUGUUGUGAUCUUUGUGCUUUCAGCUUAAUAUUGAAAUUCAAAAUGCAUUUGAUAAUAUAAAAUACAACUGGUUUGAGCGAUGUGCUAGAUUCCCAAGUCCUUUUUCCCUCCCUCCUUUUCUAGUUUUGAGUGAAGAUGUUCACUUCCUGUUCUCUCAAUUCAGCAUUUCUGUGUUACUACUUAUUGUGGACUUGACUUUUUAAUAUGUGAGGGCUGUUCUCAGCUUUACAAUCCUACUUUGACUUUCUUCUUUGAUUACAAUCGCAGGUCAGGCUUCGUUCUUCAAGUUUCUGAUUAACUGGUUCUGGGAUAUGAUAUUAACCUGGGCUACUAAAAAAGUGUGCAUGAUAAUGUGGCAGAGAAAAUGAUAAGAAAGAAACUUUGUGAAAAGAAAAUUUGAAGGCUUUUGAAACCAAUAACUUGAAAAAAAAAAAGAAAAAGAAAGAAGUUGAAGAGGGAAAAGAACGGUUAGUGGAAGAAAAUUAGGUAAGGGAAGAUUUUAUAUGCACUUUUCAUGGUAAAAAUUAAGUGAAAUAUUAAAUUUUGAAGCUAUAGUGUCUAACAACCCUCUAGAAAAAGAAUCGGUCAAAUCAGUAUAAUUCAUAUCAAUUCACCAAAUUCACUACCAAAUCAUAAAAUUGGGUUAAGAUUCAAGUAUAUUGAGAUUCACCCUAUAGAUUCGAAUCGCUAGGAUGGGAAAUCGAAUCGAAUCGUGAGAUUCUAACAAUAGUGAGUAGAAACUAAAGACUUUGUGUGUUCAUUUUUCUUCAUCAAUACAAGUCUCAAUAACAUGCUGACAAAUGAGAAGGAACUUACAUAGAAAGAGAACCUUUUAUUUCACUAUUUAAUAACGAUGCUACAUCUCUUCCUUGCAUAUCAAAAUCAUUAACACUCCACUCAAACUGAAACAAUCACCUGAUAAGGCCUCCGUCCCUUAAAAUGCUACUAAUGCUUCCCUAUGAAUCAUUUCAAUCUACCUACAACCCCAAAUAGAAGUACCUCACAUCCUCCAGGAUGAAAAUAAAAUAAUAAUGAAAUGAGGACAAAAUCACAUCUGUCUGCUUUUAAUUUGCCAAUUCCUUUGUCUAAAUGGUGAGGGUGUAUUUGGAUAGGAAUGAUUUGAAAUGAAAAUAUUUGGAUUUAAUAUUUUAGCAUAAAUCAUAAUACAUGUUUUCUUUGGUAAAUUGCAUUUCUCAAUGGAUAACAUAUUCAUACAAAU